RNAcentral lists this ribosomal RNA (468 nucleotides) under uncultured bacterium. RNAcentral's name for it is "partial 16S ribosomal RNA". It matches the Rfam family "Bacterial small subunit ribosomal RNA", at positions 28 to 507 of the family's 1533-position model. The record is from RNAcentral.
GACGAACGCUGGCGGCGUGCUUAACACAUGCAAGUCGAACGGAAAGGCCCUGCUUUUGUGGGGUGCUCGAGUGGCGAACGGGUGAGUAACACGUGAGUAACCUGCCCUUGACUUUGGGAUAACUUCAGGAAACUGGGGCUAAUACCGGAUAGGAGCUCCUGCUGCAUGGUGGGGGUUGGAAAGUUUCGGCGGUUGGGGAUGGACUCGCGGCUUAUCAGCUUGUUGGUGGGGUAGUGGCUUACCAAGGCUUUGACGGGUAGCCGGCCUGAGAGGGUGACCGGCCACAUUGGGACUGAGAUACGGCCCAGACUGCUACGGGAGGCAGCAGGGGGGAAUAUUGCACAAUGGGCGGAAGCCUGAUGCAGCAACGCCGCGUGCGGGAUGAAGGCCUUCGGGUUGUAAACCGCUUUCGCCUGUGACGAAGCGUGAGUGACGGUAAUGGGUAAAGAAGCACCGGCUAACUACGUG